CCUACGGGAGGCAGCAGUGAGGAAUAUUGGUCAAUGGGCGAGAGCCUGAACCAGCCACGUCGCGUGAAGGAUGACGGCCCUACGGGUUGUAAACUUCUUUUGUCAGGGAGCAAAUGAGUCCACGUGUGGGCUUAGCGAGAGUACCUGAAGAAAAAGCAUCGGCUAACUCCGUGCCAGCAGCCGCGGUAAUACGGGGGAUGCGAGCUUUAUCCGGAUUUCUGGGGGUAAGAGGGUGCGUAGGCGGAAUAUCAAGUCAGCGGGAAAAAUGCGGGGCUAAACCCCGUCGUGCCGUUGAGACUGAUGUUCUUGAGUGGGCGAGAGGUAUGCGGAAUGCGUGGUGUAGCGGUGAAAUGCAUAGAUAUCACGAAGAACACCGGUGGCGAAGGCAGCAUACUGGCCCCCAACUGACGCUGAAGCACGAAAGCGUGGGUAUCGAACAGGAUUAGAUACCCUGGUAGUC
RNAcentral lists this ribosomal RNA (460 nucleotides) under uncultured bacterium. RNAcentral describes it as "partial 16S ribosomal RNA". It matches the Rfam family "Bacterial small subunit ribosomal RNA", at positions 338 to 795 of the family's 1533-position model. The record is from RNAcentral.